Molecule: ribosomal RNA, 445 nt
Filed under: uncultured bacterium
Lineage: Bacteria
Description: bacterial SSU rRNA
Rfam family: Bacterial small subunit ribosomal RNA
Source: RNAcentral
AACGCGAAGAACCUUACCAGGGCUUGACAUGCACGGUGCACCUCUAGAGAUAGAGGGUCCUUUGGGGUCGUGCACAGGUGGUGCAUGGUUGUCGUCAGCUCGUGUCGUGAGAUGUUGGGUUAAGUCCCGCAACGAGCGCAACCCUCGUCCUGUAUUGCCAGCAGCAUCUUCGGAUGGCUGGGGACUUGCGGGAGACUGCCGGGGUCAACUCGGAGGAAGGUGGGGAUGACGUCAAAUCAUCAUGCCCCUUAUGUCCUGGGCUGCACGCAUGCUACAAUGGCCGGUACAGAGGGCUGCGAUACCGUGAGGUGGAGCGAAUCCCGUAAAGCCGGUCUCAGUUCGGAUCGGGGUCUGCAACUCGACCCCGUGAAGUCGGAGUCGCUAGUAAUCGCAGAUCAGCAACGCUGCGGUGAAUACGUUCCCGGGCCUUGUACACACCGCAUAC